Molecule: ribosomal RNA, 244 nt
Filed under: uncultured microorganism
Description: partial 16S ribosomal RNA
Rfam family: Bacterial small subunit ribosomal RNA
Source: RNAcentral
GAGUUUGAUCUUGGCUCAGAUUGAACGCUGGCGGCAUGCCUUACACAUGCAAGUCGAACGGCAGCAUGAUCUAGCUUGCUAGAUUGAUGGCGAGUGGCGAACGGGUGAGUAAUACAUCGGAACGUGCCCUGUAGUGGGGAUAACUAGUCGAAAGAUUAGCUAAUACCGCAUACGACCUGAGGGUGAAGUGGGGGACCGGCAAGGCCUCAUGCUAUAGGAGCGGCCGAUGUCUGAUUAGCUAGUU